RNAcentral lists this ribosomal RNA (437 nucleotides) under uncultured bacterium. RNAcentral's name for it is "partial 16S ribosomal RNA". It matches the Rfam family "Bacterial small subunit ribosomal RNA", at positions 29 to 507 of the family's 1533-position model. The record is from RNAcentral.
AGCGAACGCUGGCGGCAGGCUUAACACAUGCAAGUCGAGCGGGCAUCCUUGUGGUGUCAGCGGCAGACGGGUGAGUAACGCGUGGGAACGUGCCCUUCGGUUCGGAAUAACUCAGGGAAACUUGAGCUAAUACCGGAUACGUGCGAGAGCAGAAAGGUUUAUCUGCCGAAGGAUCGGCCCGCGUCUGAUUAGCUAGUUGGUGCGGUUAUGGCUCACCAAGGCGACGAUCAGUAGCUGGUCUGAGAGGAUGAUCAGCCACACUGGGACUGAGACACGGCCCAGACUCCUACGGGAGGCAGCAGUGGGGAAUAUUGGACAAUGGGGGCAACCCUGAUCCAGCCAUGCCGCGUGAGUGAUGACGGCCUUAGGGUUGUAAAGCUCUUUUCUCCGGGACGAUAAUGACGGUACCGGAGGAAUAAGCCCCGGCUAACUUCGUG